Molecule: transfer RNA, 86 nt
Filed under: marine eukaryotic metagenome
Rfam family: tRNA
About the family: Transfer RNA (tRNA) molecules are approximately 80 nucleotides in length. Their secondary structure includes four short double-helical elements and three loops (D, anti-codon, and T loops).
Source: RNAcentral
GAGGGGUGGCCGAGUGGUUUAAGGCGACGGUCUUGAAAACCGUUGAGGUCUGAACGGCCUCCGUGAGUUCGAAUCUCACCCCCUCC